Mesoplodon densirostris (Blainville's beaked whale) is the source of this 104-nucleotide small nuclear RNA. The record is from RefSeq and is a predicted model, not a curated record. NCBI's taxonomy places the organism in Eukaryota, Metazoa, Chordata, Mammalia, Artiodactyla, Ziphiidae.
GUGCUGGCUUCAGCAGCACAUAUACUAAAAUUGGAACGAUACUGAGAUUAGUAUGGUCCCUGCACAAGGAUGACAUGCAAAUCUGUGAAGUGUUCCAUAUUGUU